CUCGUAGGCGGUUCGGUAAGUCGGGUGUGAAAACUCUGGGCUCAACCCAGAGACGCCACCCGAUACUGCUGUGACUAGAGUGCGGUAGGGGAGCGGGGAAUUCCUGGUGUAGCGGUGAAAUGCGCAGAUAUCAGGAGGAACACCAGCGGCGAAGGCGCCGCUCUGGGCCGUGACUGACGCUGAGGAGCGAAAGCAUGGGUAGCAAACA
Molecule: ribosomal RNA, 208 nt
Filed under: uncultured bacterium
Lineage: Bacteria
Description: partial 16S ribosomal RNA
Rfam family: Bacterial small subunit ribosomal RNA
Source: RNAcentral